Molecule: long non-coding RNA, 694 nt
Organism: Brienomyrus brachyistius
Lineage: Eukaryota; Metazoa; Chordata; Actinopteri; Osteoglossiformes; Mormyridae
Exons: 3
Source: RefSeq, a predicted model, not a curated record
CUGGAGGGUAGUGUUGGGUCCUUAUCAGGUUACAAUGACACUGUAAUGGCCGGUAACUGGAGGGCUGUGUUGGGUCUUUAUCAGGUCUCAAUAACACUGUAAUGGCCGGUAACUGGAGGGCUGUGUUGGGUCUUUAUCAGGUCUCAAUAACACUGUAAUGGCCGGUAACUGGAGGGCUGUGUUGGGUCUUUAUCAGGUUUCAGUAACACUGUAAUGGCCGGUAACUGGAGGGUUGUGUUGGAUCUUUAUCAGGUUUCAGUAACACUGUAAUGGCCGGUAACUGGAGGGUUGUGUUGGGUCUUUAUUAGGUUUCAAUAACACUGUAAUGACCGGUAAUUGGAGGGUUGCGUUGGAUCUUUAUCAGGUCUCAAUAACACUGUAAUGACCGGUAAUUGGAGGGUUGUGUUGGAUCUUUAUCAGGUCUCAAUAACACUGUAAUGGUCGCUGUACUCAUUUGUGAUGGGAUUUGUGAUGGAUGUUUAAUUUUUUUAUUUGUCUAUUGAAGAGUGGAGAUAAUACAUCCCAAAAAUGUUUAUAGAUUUCUGCAGGGAAACCAUCCAGUCUGGGCGAUUGGUUGUUAGGCAUUUGGUUGAGAACCUUAUGGAGUUUUUCUGAUGUUAAUGGUGCAUCAAGGGUAUCUGCUAUUUCAUUGGUUAAUAUGAGUAAGUAUAGAUUAUUUAAAAUGAUUCUAUAU